RNAcentral lists this ribosomal RNA (468 nucleotides) under uncultured bacterium. RNAcentral's name for it is "partial 16S ribosomal RNA". It matches the Rfam family "Bacterial small subunit ribosomal RNA", at positions 28 to 507 of the family's 1533-position model. The record is from RNAcentral.
GACGAACGCUGGCGGCGUGCUUAACACAUGCAAGUCGAACGGAAAGGCCCUGCUUUUGUGGGGUGCUCGAGUGGCGAACGGGUGAGUAACACGUGAGUAACCUGCCCUUGACUUUGGGAUAACUUCAGGAAACUGGGGCUAAUACCGGAUAGGAGCUCCUGCUGCAUGGUGGGGGUUGGAAAGUUUCGGCGGUUGGGGAUGGACUCGCGGUUUAUCAGCUUGUUGGUGGGGUAGUGGCUUACCAAGGCUUUGACGGGUAGCCGGCCUGGGAGGGUGACCGGCCACAUUGGGACUGAGAUACGGCCCAGACUCCUACGGGAGGCAGCAGUGGGGAAUAUUGCACAGUGAGCGGAAGCCUGAUGCAGCAGCGCCGCGUGCGGGAUGACGGCCUUCGGGUUGUAAACCGCUUUCGCCUGUGACGAAGCGUGAGUGACGGUAAUGGGUAAAGAAGCACCGGCUAACUACGUG